GACGAACGCUGGCGGCGUGCUUAACACAUGCAAGUCGAACGGAAAGGCCCUGCUUUUGUGGGGUGCUCGAUUGGCGAACGGGUGAGUAACACGUGAGUAACCUGCCCUUGACUUUGGGAUAACUUCAGGAAACUGGGGCUAAUACCGGAUAGGAGCUCCUGCUGCAUGGUGUGGGUUGGAAAGUUUCGGCGGUUGGGGAUGGACUCGCGGCUUAUCAGCUUGUUGGUGGGGUAGUGGCUUACCAAAGCUUCGACGGGUAGCCGGCCUGAGAGGGUGACCGGCCACCUUGGGACUGAGAGACGGACCAGACUCCUACGGGAGGCAGCAGUGGGGAAUAUUGCACAAUGGGCGGAAGCCUGAUGCAGCAACGCCGCGUGCGGGAUGACGGCCUUCGGGUUGUAAACCGCUUUCGCAUGUGACGAAGCGUGAGUGACGGUAAUGGGUAAAGAAGCACCGGCUAACUACGUG
Molecule: ribosomal RNA, 468 nt
Filed under: uncultured bacterium
Lineage: Bacteria
Description: partial 16S ribosomal RNA
Rfam family: Bacterial small subunit ribosomal RNA
Source: RNAcentral